GUGUUGCAUGGCUGUCGUCAGUCCGUGUCGUGAGAUGUGAUGCGAAAGCACGUAACGGGCGCAACCCUUAUUUGUAAUUGCUAAUUUAUUUUUAAAUGCACUUUACAGAACGUUUAAAGAUUGUUUUUGAAGGUCGCGUUUUUUGAGCGCCUUAUUUAAUAAUCUUUAAAGGAAGUGGGGAUGAGGUCAAGUCGUCAUGGCCUUUAUAAACUGGGCUACUCAUGUGUUACAAUGGUUGCCACAAAGAGUUGCUAUG
RNAcentral lists this ribosomal RNA (256 nucleotides) under Klebsiella pneumoniae. RNAcentral's name for it is "partial 16S ribosomal RNA". It matches the Rfam family "Bacterial small subunit ribosomal RNA", at positions 1038 to 1254 of the family's 1533-position model. Lineage: Bacteria; Pseudomonadati; Pseudomonadota; Gammaproteobacteria; Enterobacterales; Enterobacteriaceae. The record is from RNAcentral.